CGCUUACACAUGCAAGUCGAGCGGAAAGGCCCCUUCGGGGGUACUCGAGCGGCGAACGGGUGAGUAACACGUGAGCAACCUGCCCCUGACUCUGGGAUAAGCCCGGGAAACUGGGUCUAAUACCGGAUAUAACCACUGGUCUCAUGAUCGGGUGGUGGAAAGUUUUUCGGUUCUCUUUCAGCAGGGACGAAGCUAACGUGACGGUACCUGCAGAAGAAGCGCCGGCUAACUACGUGCCAGCAGCCGCGGUAAUACGUAGGGCGCAAGCGUUGUCCGGAAUUAUUGGGCGUAAAGAGCUCGUAGGCGGUUUGUCGCGUCUGUCGUGAAAGCCCACGGCUUAACCGUGGGUCUGCGGUGGAUACGGGCAGACUAGAGGCAGGUAGGGGAGAAUGGAAUUCCCGGUGUAGCGGUGAAAUGCGCAGAUAUCGGGAGGAACACCGGUGGCGAAGGCGGUUCUCUGGGCCUGUACUGACGCUGAGGAGCGAAAGCGUGGGGAGCGAACAGGAUUAGAUACCCUGGUAGUCCACGCCGUAAACGUUGGGCGCUAGGUGUGGGGUCCUUCCACGGAUUCCGCGCCGCAGCUAACGCAUUAAGCGCCCCGCCUGGGGAGUACGGCCGCAAGGCUAAAACUCAAAGGAAUUGACGGGGGCCCGCACAAGCGGCGGAGCAUGUUGCUUAAUUCGACGCAACGCGAAGAACCUUACCAAGGCUUGACAUCGCCGGAAAACCAUCAGAGAUGGUGGGUCCUUUUGGGCCGGUGACAGGUGGUGCAUGGCUGUCGUCAGCUCGUGUCGUGAGAUGUUGGGUUAAGUCCCGCAACGAGCGCAACCCUCGUUCCAUGUUGCCAGCACUUCGGGUGGGGACUCAUGGGAGACCGCCGGGGUCAACUCGGAGGAAGGUGGGGAUGACGUCAAGUCAUCAUGCCCCUUAUGUCUUGGGCUGCAAACAUGCUACAAUGGCCGGUACAGAGGGCUGCGAUACCGUGAGGUGGAGCGAAUCCCUUAAAGCCGGUCUCAGUUCGGAUCGAAGUCUGCAACUCGACUUCGUGAAGUCGGAGUCGCUAGUAAUCGCAGAUCAGCAACGCUGCGGUGAAUACGUUCCCGGGCCUUGUACACACCGCCCGUCACGUCACGAAAGUCGGCAACACCCGAAGCCCGUGGCCCAACCACCUUGUGUGGGGGGAGCGGUCGAAGUG
Molecule: ribosomal RNA, 1195 nt
Filed under: Actinomadura sp. 172320
Lineage: Bacteria; Bacillati; Actinomycetota; Actinomycetes; Streptosporangiales; Thermomonosporaceae
Description: bacterial SSU rRNA
Rfam family: Bacterial small subunit ribosomal RNA
Source: RNAcentral